Molecule: unclassified non-coding RNA, 240 nt
Filed under: soil metagenome
Description: partial contains 5.8S ribosomal RNA, internal transcribed spacer 2, and large subunit ribosomal RNA
Source: RNAcentral
AACGCACGAGACCUGCGGACCUGCGGAGGGAUCAUUACCGAGUUACAACUCCCAAACCCAAUGUGAACGUUACCAAACUGUUGCCUCGGCGGGAUCUCUGCCCCGGGUGCGUCGCAGCCCCGGACCAAGGCGCCCGCCGGAGGACCAACCAAAACUCUUUUGUAUACCCCCUCGCGGGUUUUUAUAUCUGAGCCAUCUCGGCGCCUCUCGUAGGCGUUUCGAAAAUGAAUCAAAACUUUC